RNAcentral lists this transfer RNA (79 nucleotides) under Clostridioides difficile. Its description in RNAcentral is "tRNA-Asp". The stretch from base 4 to 66 matches the Rfam family "tRNA". From Rfam's summary of the family: Transfer RNA (tRNA) molecules are approximately 80 nucleotides in length. Lineage: Bacteria; Bacillati; Bacillota; Clostridia; Peptostreptococcales; Peptostreptococcaceae. The record is from RNAcentral.
UGCGGCCUGGUAGUUCAGUUGGUUAGAAUGCCAGCCUGUCACGCUGGAGGUCGAGGGUUCAGUCCUGCCUCCGCAACCA